AUGCCAUCCUUAGACUUGGCAGAAAAUUUCAGAAAAUUGCUAGAGGCGGCUAAGGAAGCAGAUGUGACAUUCGAGGUUGAAGGUGAGAUUUUUCCUGCACAUAAGAUUGUGCUCGCAACGCGGUCUCCAGUCUUCAAGGCAGAGCUGUAUGGACCGAUGAGAGGCUAGUGUGGACAGAACAUAACAGCCGAAGACAUGCAGCCUGCUGUUUUUAAGGCAUUACUUCACGUUAUCUACACAGAUCUAUUGCCUUCCAUGGGCAAACUUGAUGACAAAGAGAAAAAGGAAAUUGUUAGGCACUUACUAGCGGCUGCAGAUCGGUAUGCAAUAGAAAGGAUGAAGAUGAUGUGUGAAGACAUUCUUUGCAAAACUAUUGAUGUUCAGACUGUGGCAACCACGUCUGCUCUAGCUGAUCAACAUCACUGUAGCAGGCUAAAAGAUGCUUGUGCUGAAUUUAUCAUGUCUUCAAAUAGAUUGGAUGAUGUGUUGGCAAGGCAAGGGUAUGUGCACCUCAAGAAAUCAUGCCCUGCUGCCUCAGUAAAUAUCUUGGAGAGAGUUAUGAAGCUUCUCAAAUUUUAG
RNAcentral lists this ribosomal RNA (579 nucleotides) under Triticum aestivum (bread wheat). RNAcentral's name for it is "partial small subunit ribosomal RNA". Lineage: Eukaryota; Viridiplantae; Streptophyta; Magnoliopsida; Poales; Poaceae. The record is from RNAcentral.